RNAcentral lists this ribosomal RNA (497 nucleotides) under uncultured bacterium. RNAcentral describes it as "partial 16S ribosomal RNA". It matches the Rfam family "Bacterial small subunit ribosomal RNA", at positions 28 to 507 of the family's 1533-position model. The record is from RNAcentral.
GAUGAACGCUGGCGGCGUGCCUAAUACAUGCAAGUCGAGCGAACAGACGAGGAGCUUGCUCCUCUGACGUUAGCGGCGGACGGGUGAGUAACACGUGGAUAACCUACCUAUAAGACUGGGAUAACUUCGGGAAACCGGAGCUAAUACCGGAUAAUAUAUUGAACCGCAUGGUUCAAUAGUGAAAGACGGCUUUGCUGUCACUUAUAGAUGGAUCCGCGCCGCAUUAGCUAGUUGGUAAGGUAACGGCUUACCAAGGCAACGAUGCGUAGCCGACCUGAGAGGGUGAUCAGCCACACUGGAACUGAGACACGGUCCAGACUCCUACGGGAGGCAGCAGUAGGGAAUCUUCCGCAAAGGGCGAAAGCCUGACGGAGCAACGCCGCGUGAGUGGUGAAGGUCUUCGGAUCGUAAAACUCUGUUAUUAGGGAAGAGCAAAUGUGUAAGUAACUAUGCACGUCUUGACGGUACCUAAUCAGAAAGCCACGGCUAACUACGUG